GGGGCCGGGGCCGGGGCCGGGGCCGGGGCAGGGCCAGGUGUGCAGGUGUGCGCGGCGUCGGCCUCAGCCUGCUCCUGCUGCAGCGCGAGCGCUCGGCACAGCCCCGGCGGAGGCGGAGGCGGAGUGCUCGUCGCGGUGAAAUGGCACAGAUCCGAGCGCGGAGAUCUCGGCGAUGGCCCGAGUUGUUUGCAUGGGAUGUACGAUCGUAGGUGCAAGUGACUCUUCACAUGUGGGAUGGGGAAAAUGAUAGCUCUCCCAGAUGAUCUAGAAAGAGCAAGUCACAGUUGCAGCGCGUGCAAAAGACCACAUGAGCCAUCUUCUGAGAAGAGCAGAAGGCAAAGUGUGCCAAGUGCAAUGAAGCAUACUUGGCCUCUUCUGAAAGAAAAGACGCAUCUUCUGAAAGCAAAAAUGCACUUUCAUAUAUGGGGAGAGUAGAAAUAAUAACAAGACUCAACCUGGACAAAUGCAAAGACAUAUCUUAAGAAAUUGUAUUCAGGCUUUUCUGCAAGUGUUUUCACAGUUGGGUGGACAAUUGGAAAAGUAAAGGCUGGAGAACAAGCACAGGAAGAAGUGGAAUAAACAAAGAGGACUUUGAAAGACUUGGCAAGCUUACAGAGGGCAUGGAAAUAAAAUGGAUACAUAUUCCUGGUCAUGCUGGCUUUAUAGGUGUGCGGGCCAGGAGUGAUCCAGGCCCUUUUUCGCGCCGCGCGGGCUGUGGCCAGAAGCCCGGGCACGCUGGGUCAGAGAAAAC
Molecule: long non-coding RNA, 751 nt
Organism: Alligator sinensis (Chinese alligator)
Lineage: Eukaryota; Metazoa; Chordata; Crocodylia; Alligatoridae
Exons: 5
Source: RefSeq, a predicted model, not a curated record